UUUCCGUAGGUGAACCUGCGGAAGGAUCAUUAAUGAGAACUAAGGGUAGUAGUCUCGGCUACUACUCUGAACACUCCACCCUUUGUUUAUAUUACCUUUGUUGCUUUAGCUGGCCCGCUCUCGAGCCGCCGGCACCUGCUGGCUAGUGCCUGCUAAAGAACCUAAAACUCUUGUUAAUAAUAUUGUCUGAGUACUAUAUAAUAGUUAAAACUUUCAACAACGGAUCUCUUGGUUCUG
RNAcentral lists this unclassified non-coding RNA (237 nucleotides) under plant metagenome. Its description in RNAcentral is "partial contains small subunit ribosomal RNA, internal transcribed spacer 1, and 5.8S ribosomal RNA". The record is from RNAcentral.